Molecule: ribosomal RNA, 492 nt
Filed under: uncultured bacterium
Lineage: Bacteria
Description: partial 16S ribosomal RNA
Rfam family: Bacterial small subunit ribosomal RNA
Source: RNAcentral
AGUGAACGCUGGCGGUAGGCCUAACACAUGCAAGUCGAACGGCAGCACAGUAAGAGCUUGCUCUUACGGGUGGCGAGUGGCGGACGGGUGAGGAAUACAUCGGAAUCUACUUUUUCGUGGGGGAUAACGUAGGGAAACUUACGCUAAUACCGCAUACGACCUACGGGUGAAAGCAGGGGAUCUUCGGACCUUGCGCGAUUGAAUGAGCCGAUGUCGGAUUAGCUAGUUGGCGGGGUAAAGGCCCACCAAGGCGACGAUCCGUAGCUGGUCUGAGAGGAUGAUCAGCCACACUGGAACUGAGACACGGUCCAGACUCCUACGGGAGGCAGCAGUGGGGAAUAUUGGACAAUGGGCGCAAGCCUGAUCCAGCCAUACCGCGUGGGUGAAGAAGGCCUUCGGGUUGUAAAGCCCUUUUGUUGGGAAAGAAAAGCAGCAGGUUAACACCCCGCUGUUCUGACGGUACCCAAAGGAUAAGCACCGGCUAACUUCGUG